CCUACGGGGGCAGCAGUGAGGAAUAUUGGUUAAUGGACGCAAGUCUGAACCAGCCAUGCCGCGUGCCGGAAGACGGCCCUAUGAGUUGUAAACUGCUUUUUUACGAGGGUAAAUCCCGAUACGUGUAUCGGGUUGAAAGUAUCGUACGAAUAAGGAUCGGUUAACGCCGUGCCAGCAGCCGCGGUAAUACGGAGGAUUCAAGCGUUAUCCGGAUUGAUUGGGUUUAAAGGGUGCGUAGGCGGUUCGAUAAGUUAGAGGUGAAAUCCCGGGGGUCAACUCCGGCACUGCCUCUGAUACUGUCGGGCUAGAGUUUAGUUGCGGUAGGCGGAAUGUAUGGUGUAGCGGUGAAAUGCAUAGAGAUCAUACAGAACACCGAUUGCGAAGGCAGCAUACCGGCGCCCAACUGACGCUGAGGCACGAAAGCGUGGGGAUCGAACAGGAUUAGAUACCCUUGUAGUC
This 459-nucleotide ribosomal RNA is filed under the name uncultured bacterium. Its description in RNAcentral is "partial 16S ribosomal RNA". It matches the Rfam family "Bacterial small subunit ribosomal RNA", at positions 338 to 795 of the family's 1533-position model. The record is from RNAcentral.